AGUGAACGCUGGCGGUAGGCCUAACACAUGCAAGUCGAACGGCAGCACAGUAAGAGCUUGCUCUUACGGGUGGCGAGUGGCGGACGGGUGAGGAAUACAUCGGAAUCUACUUUUUCGUGGGGGAUGACGUAGGGAAACUUACGCUAAUACCGCAUACGACCUACGGGUGAAAGCAGGGGAUCUUCGGACCUUGCGCGAUUGAAUGAGCCGAUGUCGGAUUAGCUAGUUGGCGGGGUAAAGGCCCACCAAGGCGACGAUCCGUAGCUGGUCUGAGAGGAUGAUCAGCCACACUGGAACUGAGACACGGUCCAGACUCCUACGGGAGGCAGCAGUGGGGAAUAUUGGACAAUGGGCGCAAGCCUGAUCCAGCCAUACCGCGUGGGUGAAGAAGGCCUUCGGGUUGUAAAGCCCUUUUGCUGGGAAAGAAAAGCAGCAGGUUAAUACCCCGCUGUUCUGACGGUACCCAAAGAAUAAGCACCGGCUAACUUCGUG
This 492-nucleotide ribosomal RNA is filed under the name uncultured bacterium. RNAcentral's name for it is "partial 16S ribosomal RNA". It matches the Rfam family "Bacterial small subunit ribosomal RNA", at positions 29 to 507 of the family's 1533-position model. The record is from RNAcentral.